AUUGAACGCUGGCGGCAGGCCUAACACAUGCAAGUCGAGCGGAUGAAGGGAGCUUGCUCCUGGAUUCAGCGGCGGACGGGUGAGUAAUGCCUAGGAAUCUGCCUGGUAGUGGGGGAUAACGUCCGGAAACGGGCGCUAAUACCGCAUACGUCCUGAGGGAGAAAGUGGGGGAUCUUCGGACCUCACGCUAUCAGAUGAGCCUAGGUCGGAUUAGCUAGUUGGUGGGGUAAAGGCCUACCAAGGCGACGAUCCGUAACUGGUCUGAGAGGAUGAUCAGUCACACUGGAACUGAGACACGGUCCCGGCUACUACGGGAGGCAGCAGUGGGGAAUAUUGGACAGUGGGCGAGAGCCUGAUCCAGCCAUGCCGCGUGUGUGAAGAAGGUCUUCGGAUUGUAAAGCACUUUUAGUUGGGAGGAAGGGCAGUAAGUUAAUACCUUGCUGUUUUGACGUUACCAACAGAAUAAGCACCGGCUAACUACGUG
Molecule: ribosomal RNA, 484 nt
Filed under: uncultured bacterium
Lineage: Bacteria
Description: partial 16S ribosomal RNA
Rfam family: Bacterial small subunit ribosomal RNA
Source: RNAcentral